This 517-nucleotide ribosomal RNA is filed under the name uncultured bacterium. RNAcentral describes it as "bacterial SSU rRNA". It matches the Rfam family "Bacterial small subunit ribosomal RNA", at positions 15 to 518 of the family's 1533-position model. The record is from RNAcentral.
GAUCAUGGCUCAGGAUGAACGCUAGCUACAGGCUUAACACAUGCAAGUCGAGGGGCAGCAUGAAACUUAGCUUGCUAAGUUUGAUGGCGACCGGCGCACGGGUGAGUAACACGUAUCCAACCUACCGUUUACUACGGGAUAGCCUUCUGAAAAGGAGAUUAAUACCGUAUGGCAUUCUAAAGUUUCAUGACAUUAGAAUUAAAGGUUUACCGGUAAUCGAUGGGGAUGCGUUCCAUUAGAUAGUAGGCGGGGUAACGGCCCACCUAGUCAGCGAUGGAUAGGGGUUCUGAGAGGAAGGUCCCCCACAUUGGAACUGAGACACGGUCCAAACUCCUACGGGAGGCAGCAGUGAGGAAUAUUGGUCAAUGGGCGAGAGCCUGAACCAGCCAAAAGUAGCGUGAAGGAUGACUGCCCUAUGGGUUGUAAACUUCUUUUAUAAAGGAAUAAAGUGGUCCACGUGUGGAUUUUUGUAUGUACUUUAUGAAUAAGGAUCGGCUAACUCCGUGCCAGCCGCGGC